AGAGUUUGAUCCUGGCUCAGAUUGAACGCUGGCGGCGUGCUUAAUACAUGCAAGUCGAGCGGUAACAGGUGUAGCAAUACAUGCUGACGAGCGGCGAACGGGUGAGUAAUGCUUCGGAAUCUGCCUAGUAGUGGGGAAUAACUAACCGAAAGGUUAGCUAAUGCCGCAUACGAACUACGGUUGAAAGCGGGGGAUCGUAAGACCUCGCGCUAUUGGAUGAGCCGAAGUCGGAUUAGCUAGUUGGUGAGGUAACGGCUCACCAAGGCUACGAUCCGUAGCUGGUCUGAGAGGACGACCAGCCACACUGGGACUGAGACACGGCCCAGACUCCUACGGGAGGCAGCAGUAGGGAAUAUUGGACAAUGGGGGCAACCCUGAUCCAGCGACGCCGCGUGUGUGAAGAAGGCCUGCGGGUUG
Molecule: ribosomal RNA, 417 nt
Filed under: uncultured bacterium
Lineage: Bacteria
Description: bacterial SSU rRNA
Rfam family: Bacterial small subunit ribosomal RNA
Source: RNAcentral